Molecule: ribosomal RNA, 493 nt
Filed under: uncultured Chloroflexota bacterium
Lineage: Bacteria; Bacillati; Chloroflexota
Description: bacterial SSU rRNA
Rfam family: Bacterial small subunit ribosomal RNA
Source: RNAcentral
AGAGUUUGAUCCUGGCUCAGGACCAACGCUGGCGGCGUGCGUAACACAUGCAAGUCGAACGCGCGGGGGGCAACCUCUGGCGCGUGGCGGACGGGUGAGGAACACGUGAGGAACCUGGCCUUUGGUGGGGGAUAACCCUCAGAAAUGAGAGCUAAUCCCGCAUACGGCUCGUGUCGGAGGGGGCACGAGAGAAAGCAGCAAUGCGCCGAAGGAGGGGCUUGCGGCCGAUUAGCUAGUUGGUGUGGUAAGAGCGCACCAAGGCGACGAUCGGUAGCUGGUCUGAGAGGACGAGCAGCCACACUGGGAUUGAGAACGGCCCAGACUCCUACGGGGGGCAGCAGUGAGGAAUCUUCGGCAAUGGGGGCAACCCUGACCGAGCGACGCCGCGUGCGGGAAGACGGCCUUCGGGUUGUAAACCGCUUUUCUGGGGGACGAGAAACGGACGGUACCCCAGGAAGAAGCCUCGGCUAACUACGUGCCAGCAGCCGCGGUA